CUACGGGAGGCAGCAGUGAGGAAUAUUGGACAAUGGGCGCAAGCCUGAUCCAGCCAUGCCGCGUGCAGGAUGACGGUCCUAUGGAUUGUAAACUGCUUUUGCACAGGAAGAAACAACAUUACGUGUAAGUCUGACGGUACGGAGAGUAGAU
Molecule: ribosomal RNA, 151 nt
Filed under: bacterium SM4.900-O.21
Lineage: Bacteria
Description: partial 16S ribosomal RNA
Rfam family: Bacterial small subunit ribosomal RNA
Source: RNAcentral